RNAcentral lists this ribosomal RNA (253 nucleotides) under uncultured bacterium. Its description in RNAcentral is "partial 16S ribosomal RNA". It matches the Rfam family "Bacterial small subunit ribosomal RNA", at positions 524 to 776 of the family's 1533-position model. The record is from RNAcentral.
UACGUAGGUGGCAAGCGUUGUCCGGAUUUACUGGGCGUAAAGGGCUCGUAGGUGGCCAACUAAGUCAGACGUGAAAUCCCCAGGCUCAACUUGGGAACUGCGUCUGAUACUGGAUGGCUUGAAUUCGGGAGAGGGAUGCAGAAUUCCAGGUGUAGCGGUGAAAUGCGUAGAUAUCUGGAGGAAUACCGGUGGCGAAGGCGGCAUCCUGGACCGAGAUUGACACUGAUGAGCGAAAGCUAGGGGAGCAAACGGG